Molecule: transfer RNA, 84 nt
Organism: Kineococcus radiotolerans
Lineage: Bacteria; Bacillati; Actinomycetota; Actinomycetes; Kineosporiales; Kineosporiaceae
Rfam family: tRNA
About the family: Transfer RNA (tRNA) molecules are approximately 80 nucleotides in length.
Source: Rfam
GCCCGGGUGGCGUAACUGGUAGGCGCACGGGGCUUAAACCCCCGGGCCGUUCGCGGCGUGCGGGUUCGAUCCCCGUCCCGGGUA